GAGGCUGACGCGUCACAUUCCGCCUCGACGCGUCCGGGAUCCUCGCAACCAGCGCCGCCGCCGGGAGGAUGCGCCGCCGGCCCCUGGCCCGGAGAGGCAGAGCGGGGAGACGAUGAAGGAGCGGCCCCCUCGGCUCCUCCUCCUCCUGGCCUCCUGCUUCCUCCUCGGAUGCGGAUUCCUCAGUUUUCCCAGCUGGCAUGUCUCUUGUAAAGAAGGUCCUUCAACUACAUAUUUGUUUUCACCAAAUGAGAACUUUCCCUUGGCAAACAUGGAUGAGAACAUUAAGGAAAAGGAGGAGACUGACAAGAUCUAUUGAAACACUCUCUUUAGAACAUAUUUAUUCUGUCAUAAAUACUUAUCCCGAGGAAUACUCUGUGAAUACACACAAGCAAACAGAGG
Long non-coding RNA from Sceloporus undulatus (fence lizard), 399 nucleotides. RefSeq lists it as uncharacterized. The record is from RefSeq and is a predicted model, not a curated record. The transcript has 3 exons. NCBI's taxonomy places the organism in Eukaryota, Metazoa, Chordata, Lepidosauria, Squamata, Phrynosomatidae.